CCUACGUGGCAGCAGUGGGGAAUAUUGCGCAAUGGGCGAAAGCCUGACGCAGCGACGCCGCGUGGGUGAUGAAGGCCUUCGGGUUGUAAAGCCCUGUCGGGUGGAACGAACGAUCUGGCGGCGAAUAACCGCCGGGUGUGACGGUACCACCGAAGGAAGCCCCGGCUAACUACGUGCCAGCAGCCGCGGUAAGACGUAGGGGGCGAGCGUGGUUCGGAUUUACUGGUAGUCAAGCAGGCGUAGGCGGCUUGAAAUCCCUCGGCUUAACCGAGGUCCCGCAUCCGAUACUGUCUGGCUCGAGUCUAGGAGAGGAAAGCGGAAUUCCCAGUGUAGCGGUGAAAUGCGUAGAUAUUGGGAGGAACACCGGUGGCGAAGGCGGCUUUCCGGACUAGUACUGACGCUGAGGCGCGAAAGCUAGGGGAGCGAACGGGAUUAGAUACCCCGGUAGUC
RNAcentral lists this ribosomal RNA (450 nucleotides) under uncultured bacterium. RNAcentral's name for it is "partial 16S ribosomal RNA". It matches the Rfam family "Bacterial small subunit ribosomal RNA", at positions 338 to 795 of the family's 1533-position model. The record is from RNAcentral.